UAGCUUUGAAACACCGGUUACCGCACGAUCACCGAAAUUAAGCAACGUUGAGCCUGGUCAGUACCCAGAUGCAUGAGCGAUUGGGAAUAUCAGGUUCUGUAAG
Molecule: non-coding RNA, 103 nt
Organism: Acanthosepion pharaonis
Lineage: Eukaryota; Metazoa; Mollusca; Cephalopoda; Sepiida; Sepiidae
Source: the annotation of a GenBank genome assembly